CAGAGGGUGCGAGCGUUAAUCGGAAUUACUGGGCGUAAAGCGCGCGUAGGCGGCUUUGCAAGUCGGGUGUGAAAUCCCCAGGCUUAACCUGGGAACUGCAUUCGAGACUGCAUUGCUAGAGUAUGGGAGAGGGAAGUGGAAUUUCCGGUGUAGCGGUGAAAUGCGUAGAUAUCGGAAGGAACAUCAGUGGCGAAAGCGACUUCCUGGACCAAUACUGACGCUCAUGUGCGAAAGCGUGGGGAGCAAACAGGAUUAGAUACCCUGGUAGUCCACGCCAUAAACGAUGAGAACUGGAUGUCGGGAGGGUCUGCCUCUCGGUGUCGUAGCUAACGCGUUAAGUUCUCCGCCUGAGGAGUACGGCCGCAAGGUUG
RNAcentral lists this ribosomal RNA (371 nucleotides) under uncultured organism. RNAcentral's name for it is "bacterial SSU rRNA". It matches the Rfam family "Bacterial small subunit ribosomal RNA", at positions 526 to 896 of the family's 1533-position model. The record is from RNAcentral.